CCAGUUGUUCCACCAGGAGCAUUGCUGGGUAGCUACGUUCGGUUAGGAUAAGCGCUGAAAGCAUCUAAGCGCGAAGCCGUCCCCAAGAUUAGAUCUUAGAAAUCCUUCAAGAUUAGAAGGUUGAUAGGCUCUAGGUGGAAGCUCCGCAAGGAGUGUAGCCGAGGAGUACUAAUCAU
Molecule: ribosomal RNA, 176 nt
Filed under: Candidatus Jacksonbacteria bacterium
Lineage: Bacteria; Candidatus Jacksoniibacteriota
Description: partial 23S ribosomal RNA
Rfam family: Bacterial large subunit ribosomal RNA
Source: RNAcentral